This 450-nucleotide ribosomal RNA is filed under the name uncultured bacterium. Its description in RNAcentral is "partial 16S ribosomal RNA". It matches the Rfam family "Bacterial small subunit ribosomal RNA", at positions 338 to 795 of the family's 1533-position model. The record is from RNAcentral.
CCUACGGGCGGCUGCAGUGGGGAAUAUUGGACAAUGGGCGCAAGCCUGAUCCAGCAAUGCCGCGUGUGUGAAGAAGGCCUGCGGGUUGUAAAGCACUUUCAGUGGGGAGGAAGGCCUCGAUAUUAAUACUAUUGAGGAUUGACGUUACCCACAGAAGAAGCACCGGCUAACUCUGUGCCAGCAGCCGCGGUAAUACAGAGGGUGCAAGCGUUAAGCGGAGGGUCUGGAGGUGGAGGGUGCAGUGGGGGGUGAAAGCCCCGGGCUCAACCUGGGAAUUGCAUUUGAUACUGAGUAACUUGAGUAUGGUAGAGGGAAGUGGAAUUUCCAGUGUAGCGGUGAAAUGCGUAGAUAUUGGAAGGAACAUCAGUGGCGAAGGCGACUUCCUGGACCAUUACUGACACUGAGGCACGAAAGCGUGGGGAGCGAACAGGAUUAGAUACCCCGGUAGUC